UACGGAGGGUGCAAGCGUUAUCCGGAUUCACUGGGUUUAAAGGGUGCGUAGGCGGGCAGGUAAGUCAGUGGUGAAAUCUUUGGGCUUAACCCGAAAACUGCCAUUGAUACUAUCUGUCUUGAAUAUUGUGGAGGUUAGCGGAAUAUGUCAUGUAGCGGUGAAAUGCUUAGAUAUGACAUAGAACACCUAUUGCGAAGGCAGCUUACCACGCAGAGAUUGACGCUCAUGCACGAAAGCGUGGGGAUCAAACAGG
RNAcentral lists this ribosomal RNA (253 nucleotides) under uncultured bacterium. RNAcentral's name for it is "partial 16S ribosomal RNA". It matches the Rfam family "Bacterial small subunit ribosomal RNA", at positions 524 to 776 of the family's 1533-position model. The record is from RNAcentral.